RNAcentral lists this ribosomal RNA (1382 nucleotides) under uncultured bacterium. RNAcentral's name for it is "bacterial SSU rRNA". It matches the Rfam family "Bacterial small subunit ribosomal RNA", at positions 18 to 1395 of the family's 1533-position model. The record is from RNAcentral.
CCUGGCUCACGAUGAACGCUAGCUACAGGCUUAACACAUGCAAGUCGAGGGGCAGCAUGGUCUUAGCUUGCUAAGGCCGAUGGCGACCGGCGCACGGGUGAGUAACACGUAUCCAACCUGCCGUCUACUCUUGGACAGCCUUCUGAAAGGAAGAUUAAUACAAGAUGGCAUCAUGAGUCCGCAUGUUCACAUGAUUAAAGGUAUUCCGGUAGACGAUGGGGAUGCGUUCCAUUAGAUAGUAGGCGGGGUAACGGCCCACCUAGUCUUCGAUGGAUAGGGGUUCUGAGAGGAAGGUCCCCCACAUUGGAACUGAGACACGGUCCAAACUCCUACGGGAGGCAGCAGUGAGGAAUAUUGGUCAAUGGGCGAGAGCCUGAACCAGCCAAGUAGCGUGAAGGAUGACUGCCCUAUGGGUUGUAAACUUCUUUUAUAAAGGAAUAAAGUCGGGUAUGGAUACCCGUUUGCAUGUACUUUAUGAAUAAGGAUCGGCUAACUCCGUGCCAGCAGCCGCGGUAAUACGGAGGAUCCGAGCGUUAUCCGGAUUUAUUGGGUUUAAAGGGAGCGUAGAUGGAUGUUUAAGUCAGUUGUGAAAGUUUGCGGCUCAACCGUAAAAUUGCAGUUGAUACUGGAUAUCUUGAGUGCAGUUGAGGCAGGCGGAAUUCGUGGUGUAGCGGUGAAAUGCUUAGAUAUCACGAAGAACUCCGAUUGCGAAGGCAGCCUGCUAAGCUGCAACUGACAUUGAGGCUCGAAAGUGUGGGUAUCAAACAGGAUUAGAUACCCUGGUAGUCCACACGGUAAACGAUGAAUACUCGCUGUUUGCGAUAUACAGCAAGCGGCCAAGCGAAAGCGUUAAGUAUUCCACCUGGGGAGUACGCCGGCAACGGUGAAACUCAAAGGAAUUGACGGGGGCCCGCACAAGCGGAGGAACAUGUGGUUUAAUUCGAUGAUACGCGAGGAACCUUACCCGGGCUUAAAUUGCAGAUGAAUUACGGUGAAAGCCGUAAGCCGCAAGGCAUCUGUGAAGGUGCUGCAUGGUUGUCGUCAGCUCGUGCCGUGAGGUGUCGGCUUAAGUGCCAUAACGAGCGCAACCCUUGUUGUCAGUUACUAACAGGUUCCGCUGAGGACUCUGACAAGACUGCCAUCGUAAGAUGUGAGGAAGGUGGGGAUGACGUCAAAUCAGCACGGCCCUUACGUCCGGGGCUACACACGUGUUACAAUGGGGGGUACAGAGGGCCGCUACCACGCGAGUGGAUGCCAAUCCCCAAAACCUCUCUCAGUUCGGACUGGAGUCUGCAACCCGACUCCACGAAGCUGGAUUCGCUAGUAAUCGCGCAUCAGCCACGGCGCGGUGAAUACGUUCCCGGGCCUUGUACACACCGCCC